UCGAGCGGUAGAGAGAAGCUUGCUUCUCUUGAGAGCGGCGGACGGGUGAGUAAUGCCUAGGAAUCUGCCUGGUAGUGGGGGAUAACGUUCGGAAACGGACGCUAAUACCGCAUACGUCCUACGGGAGAAAGCAGGGGACCUUCGGGCCUUGCGCUAUCAGAUGAGCCUAGGUCGGAUUAGCUAGUUGGUGAGGUAAUGGCUCACCAAGGCGACGAUCCGUAACUGGUCUGAGAGGAUGAUCAGUCACACUGGAACUGAGACACGGUCCAGACUCCUACGGGAGGCAGCAGUGGGGAAUAUUGGACAAUGGGCGAAAGCCUGAUCCAGCCAUGCCGCGUGUGUGAAGAAGGUCUUCGGAUUGUAAAGCACUUUAAGUUGGGAGGAAGGGCAUUAACCUAAUACGUUAGUGUUUUGACGUUACCGACAGAAUAAGCACCGGCUAACUCUGUGCCAGCAGCCGCGGUAAUACAGAGGGUGCAAGCGUUAAUCGGAAUUACUGGGCGUAAAGCGCGCGUAGGUGGUUUGUUAAGUUGGAUGUGAAAUCCCCGGGCUCAACCUGGGAACUGCAUUCAAAACUGACUGACUAGAGUAUGGUAGAGGGUGGUGGAAUUUCCUGUGUAGCGGUGAAAUGCGUAGAUAUAGGAAGGAACACCAGUGGCGAAGGCGACCACCUGGACUAAUACUGACACUGAGGUGCGAAAGCGUGGGGAGCAAACAGGAUUAGAUACCCUGGUAGUCCACGCCGUAAACGAUGUCAACUAGCCGUUGGAAGCCUUGAGCUUUUAGUGGCGCAGCUAACGCAUUAAGUUGACCGCCUGGGGAGUACGGCCGCAAGGUA
RNAcentral lists this ribosomal RNA (838 nucleotides) under Pseudomonas sp. TCA3-5_Pa. Its description in RNAcentral is "bacterial SSU rRNA". It matches the Rfam family "Bacterial small subunit ribosomal RNA", at positions 62 to 895 of the family's 1533-position model. The record is from RNAcentral. Lineage: Bacteria; Pseudomonadati; Pseudomonadota; Gammaproteobacteria; Pseudomonadales; Pseudomonadaceae.